Long non-coding RNA from Scophthalmus maximus (turbot), 5976 nucleotides. RefSeq lists it as uncharacterized. The transcript has 3 exons. NCBI's taxonomy places the organism in Eukaryota, Metazoa, Chordata, Actinopteri, Pleuronectiformes, Scophthalmidae. The record is from RefSeq and is a predicted model, not a curated record.
UGGGUUUGGAUCCUGCAGCUAUCUAUCUAUCUAUCUAUCUAUAGUUCUAUCUAUCUUUCCAUCUAUAGUUCUAUCUAUCUAUCUAUAGAUCUAUCUAUCUGUCCAUCUAUCUAUCUAUGCAAUUAGUUGUCAUACAACAAGUGAGACAAGACACAUUUACGGGUUUGGUGAGAAACACAUAGGGUGGGCUGCAACACUGACAGUAAGACAUAAGAUGCAAAAAACAUUAAUAAAUAAACAAGCAAACAGACAAACAAAAAAGAAAAAAACAAAUGGCAAAUAAAAUGAGGAUAAAUAACAAAAUAAGUAUGAUGGAUUAUGUGUUACUAUAUUGAGUGUGGGGCGGGUUCUAAAGUUAAAGUGUGCAUAAAUGGUCUGAACAGAAAGUUGUACCUAUGUUUGUGUCACUUUAUGAGGAUGAUGGAGAAUCAGCUUUCAAAUCUUUCAAUGUUUACCAGCCUACACUCUGACUUUUAAUAUUCUUAUUAUUUUUUUUAAAAGUGUGGCUAGAAUGAGGGCGGCGAUGCCUCAAGUUGGCGCUCGUGAAGGACGUCACUCGCUCCGCCACUAGUCGCUCAUUAGCGAAUCACUCGCUCUCAUUGUGCUGCAAAACAUGAAAGCGGCAGCUCUGGUCCAACGCCAUGGAAACCCCUUCAAUUGAGCAGCGGGAUCCGUCGCUGGUCCGACAGUGAGCGAACCAUCAAAGACGCUCACCCUUAUUAUUCUCUACUUAAGAGGCCUGUGCAGGAUGAGAGCCGUGCACAGGCCUAAUGACGGAGGCGAGGUGUUUGCCGUGCACCGCGAACCCUCAGGACUCUCAAAACGAGUAACGUCAGGCGUGUUUUUUUCUCAAAAACCCCCCAGACAAGACACCGAUCUGGAACAGCACAUGGCAACACUGUGUAAUCUGCUCCGUCAGCCGUGGAAACAGGAAUCUUCGUAUUGAUGUAUAAUUGUAGACGCGUGUGUAAAGAAUCCGGGCAAAUGCUCUAAUUUGAAAACAGAGUUCACUCCUCUGCCGCGCAGCAAUUUGAUUUCAAGUGGAAAUAGACGACUCCUUGGUUUUAAACUUGUCAUUAUGAUGUUAAAGCUGGUGCACAGUGUAAUUGCGAUGGAAAAACGACACCAGUCCGCGCUCAUAUCGAUCCUCCUGUAAGUCCCGCUUUCACCACGUUAUUCUCUUGGCCACCGGGGCGCAGUUUUUUCGUGGAAGUGGAACUGCGGAAGGAAGAGAACAGCGGCCUCCUGGUAGCCGCACACCCCCGGCGACGGAGAUUGGCAGACGGAAAGGGCCGAAAUCGACGGAAGCCACUCGACCUCGCAAGGGGCGAAAGAAUCCUGUUGACGGAGGCAGGAGAGCAGGCGAAGAAGAGCGGUGUUAGCCGUCGAGGCGGGGCGUCGCUGCUGCGAUUAGUCGCGGUGGCUUCUUGUUCAGAAACAAGGUCUCGACUCUUUGAUUGUCUCUUAAUAAAUAAGAUGCAGUUUGGUUUUAGUGAUCUCUUUAUCCAGUCAGUUUCUUCCGUUUGCUGGGGAAGAUGGUUCAACUCUGCCAGGGCACCAUCGCCGCUGUAACUUGAAUAACCCUGGCCGCGUUAUAGGCCGCUCGGAGGGCAAAGGUCAUUCUUGGAAGACGUCAAGAGGUCAAGGAAAGGUGUAAAGGAGGACUCAUAGGACAGCGACGGUGACAGCUUUCGCUAAACUACGUCAGCACGCGACGGCGGAUGUUGUUGACGUGCGUCUGUCGUGGUGAAACUACACAUUUUCCGAAAGAUGAACUACAAAAAAACGCAGCCGCUCCAUCAGCAUGUUUCAGUUCCUUUACCACCGAGUGACAUCAGAUGCAAAUGAUUCAUAUGUAACAGUAACUGACAUGAUGACGUGCGUCUCUUCUGCAUCAUAUUCAUACUUCUCUUCUUCUUAACUAUUGCUGCCGCAAUGGGGGCAGUUUUUCCACGUGGCAUCUUGUCACUAUCUUUAAUUAUCAAGUAUUACUUCUUCCUCUUCUACAUUAAAAUUCUACACUGAUCAACCGUGUUCAUUCUGAACCAUCAGUGCUGUGAUAUAAAAUACACUAAUCUGCCACAACAGUAAAAAUCAGUUACCAGUUUUAAAGUCGCGGCUGAUCGUUGUAUGUUCCAGUACCUAAUCUGACACGAUGACGAAGCCAUGAUAGAGCGAACGUGAGUCAAUGAAAAACAAGUUCAUUUGUUACAUUCGUAGACAAAUGAUGUUGAUAUGUAUGUCACUUCAUGUUAUGAUCAUUUUCCUUGCAACACUGCGGAUGGACCACAUUGGGGGAAAAAAAAACCCCACACACUAACAACGGUUUCCAUAGGAACUGCUAAUCAUCCUCUUAACUCCUCGUCCCCAAAGUUGAGAGAACAUUCAUUCACUGUUCUUACAGUAAAUUACCUCUGGACUAUCUUUCAGCCAGACGGUGCAAUUACUUAUGUCGUUCCUGCGAGCUAUUUGUGUGCACAUUAAACUGCUGUGAUAUAGUGGCCUGGGUCGUGUCAGACAUCAGCCCCCGUUCGGCAGCCAGAGGAGAUUAAGUAGCUGCGAUGUAAAAGAAUAAUUGCCUGCGGAAUAAUUGUCACUCACGAUACACUGUCAAUAGGCCUGUGUUUACAAAAAAAACAAAAAAAAAACCACGAUGAGAGUUUUAUGAAUGGAGCUAAAUCAGUGUAAAUCCAAAUGAAAACCUCAUUAAAAGCUUAAAUGCGUCUAACUAGGCCCUUUGCUGCACCUUCUCACUUGCAUUGAUCUCAUCAUAUACUUUAUUAAGCACAGGACACGAAGAGCAUAUACUGUGAUUGAAAUUGAUAUUUUUGCCUUAUUGUCUGUAACUUUGCAACAGAAUAUGAUUUAAGAGUUUGUGUGAGGUAUUGUGGAAAUUAGUAGGCAUGUUUUGUUUGCUGCCUGAGCCUUGUUUUAUCUCAGGAGCAAAGGUGAAGGUGGUUAUUAGCGCCACGGUAAUGAGAUCAGCUGACAUUUUUACUUUGUGAGUUUCCAGCGUGUUCCACCAUCAGCUCCCUCUCUGAGAGCUGUGACAUGGCUUUGUCAACCAGGCGUGUGCUGCGUCACAUGGGAGGAAAAAACAACCGGCGCAGUCGAUGCCACCUUGACAUCGCAUCAACUACCGCACCGGAGUUACAACCCCGCGUUGAGAAAGAUCAAGUUUAAGGUGGCUUCAGAUACCAGUGACACGGGCCCAGAUCUGCACCGAGACAGUGGGGUCAUCUGGAAGAAGCAUUCUCCCAAUAAACAUCAAUAUGAUGACAACAUGAGCUUGUGGAUGGUUGGUGGUCCAGCAUGCUACUAAUUCAACACGGACAUUCUUCGCCAUGAAACUCAAAUCUGUGGCAUUACUCUAAUUAGGUCCCGUGCUAACAGGGACCCAGCUACAGUGUUUGGCACCGGCGAGGUAACAGCUUUGCACAUUGUGCCUCUGCAGAGCCUGUGAUAUGUUUGGAGGAACAGCACACGAACAGAAGAAGAAUACACAUUGUUCACAACUUGCAACGGCAAAAAUCGGACUCCAGAGGACACACUGCUGCAUGGGGAAUAGCACAGCCUCAGUUGGCAUAGUAUCAUGUGGGAUUGAGUGCUCUCGGGUGGUCGGUAUUAAGUCUUGGCCUCGCAGGCCUCAGACACUGUUCGGGUUGUAACAGAGCAUGUUCAGUUGCAGGUUUUCAUCCCAGUGUCUGAGGAUCAUGAAGAGCUGGUUGGCGGCGGCCUUGACGGAGGCUAAAUCUCGGCCCUCUGGGAUGUCCUGCGCGCUCAACCACAUGCUCGCCUUGGCCGCGACCAGUUCCCACUCUAUGAAAUAGCUGGCCGAGCUGUGCUCCAGCCAGGCGAGGGCCACGGCCGUGGCCCACACCAUGCUCUCCGGAUUCAGCAUCCUCUUUAGCACGCCUCCGGGAGAUGCCGUUUCCGAGCCCCCGGACCCGGAGCUCCGCCCGCUGUCCCCGUGGGAGUGUGGGGAGACCGGGGGCUCGGCGGCCGAGGGUGGACUUCCUGAUGAGGCGGGAGCAGCAUCCGUCCAGACGCUCCUGGGCGCAUGACAAGGGCUGUGGACGCCCGCAGUUUGCUCCGCUGGUGGCUGACAUGUUUCGGGCUCACACGGUGACCCGUGCCCGUCGCCGGCACUCUCAGCGCGGCGGCUGCCGGAGUGAGACAAGUGGCCCAGGCUGGUGCGGUGGCUGGUGAAGGGGGACGUCCACUUCAGCUUGUCCAUGGGCACAUUGAUGGCGUCGCACAGAGCUGUGUCCAGGGGGAAUGCGCCGCAAGCCAACUGCAACAACACCUGUGCAGAAGGAAAAAAUUGUUCACGGUCUUGACAGUUUGUUCUCUUGCCUUCAAACUGACUUCCGCGAUUGUGACACGUUUCGUCUCCCGGGACAAAUCUACAGUCUGCUCAAAUGAUCUGCCACCUACCAGAGGAAUGUAGUCUUUGUUCUCGUUGUCACUUUCUCCAAUCGAAUCGCCCGACUUGCUGUAGGUUCGACACAUGAAGCCCUUGGCAGCUCGCGUCAGGAGACGAGUCCUGCUGAGGGCCAACCUUACGGAGGAGCGGGGGACACGGCCGUAAAUCACCAUGUGCAUCUAUGCAGCAUUCUCUCGAAGUCAAAAGUAAUUUUCUUAUAGAACCGCAGCUGCAGCAUAAACGUGCAAGCUGCCAGCCGGUCACCGAUCACCCACCUGGCAGAAAAAAGGCUCUCCACCGAUUUCUGCGAUUGGUCAGAGGUCACCGACGGACUCCUCUGGGAGACUUGGGGGCAGAGAGGCAGAGUUAGACGAGACGAAGAACCAUUCUCUGUCUCAACUCUCUGUUUUUCUGUUCCCGACGUGAGUCUCGCGCCAUAAAGGGCUCAAACACAGCGGAGGACAUACGGUAUAAUUCCGCCCGGCUGUGUCUCCUCUGCAGGUUGAAACACUCCUGCGUUUGUGCACUUGUGGCUUUCUCUUUAAAAGGGUCCAGGCAGCGUUUGUCGAUAGAAGCCGCAAAAAUUGUGUCGAUUCCCCCCCCCCCCCCCCCCCCCCCUCCAGCAUCAUCACUUACAAGAAGAGAGAGGGACCCAAAUGUCAACGGGCUCAUGUUUCACAUUCGGGGCAACACAACACUGUUGCGGAGGAGACGGCGAGGCGACAACCAGACAGUUCACGUCGGCUGAUGUGCUGCACUUACCCUCCGCGAAGCUGCAUCUCUCCCAGCCAGAGGAGGAGGGAGUGCUGCAGGGGGAGACGCCAUCCUCGCCACCUGGGACAACGAUGACAUUUAUUUCAUUUUCUUCUCAGAACCUAAAUGGACAUUGUUUUUGAUAAAACUAUGAGCAUAUACUGAUCCUCUGCAUCUGCUCACUGUCCUUUUUAAAAAAUAAAAAAAAAACUGGCAGUGCCAAGCACAUGUUCGAGCAGUGCGCUGGGCUUUUUCGCCUCCUGUUGCUAUGCCACCACUGAAAACCAAUUUAAAAGCCUUUGCCCUUUUACUGAAGUUGGAGAUAUUUUUAUAGAACAGCAGCGAACAAGCUUCUUUGACGUGGUCCAAUAUCACGCAGCUUCCCAGUGUUGUCUGUUUGCAACCCUUUUUUUCAAAUUUCAAAUGAGGACAUAUUUAUUAUUUUUUGCUGUUUUUAUUCAUCUGAUCUUCUUUUAUGGUUGUCUUUUCAAUGAUUGAUGGUCGUGGUGCAUUAUGGUCUUUAAAGCCGAGUCCUUUAUUCAUGAUUAACGUCCUACGUCUCCUGUGAAGCACUUUGAGUUGCGUCUGAUUUGUUUGGAAAGUCGUUAUAUGAAUAAAGUUUGAUUCAUUCAUUUUAUUUAUAAACAUAAACAUAAAAAUCUCCUAUGCCAUACUGCUUCAUUCUUGGAAAAACAUCCGGUCAACCUUUCUUUGUGGCUCUUAUCUUAUCUGUGUCGACUGUGGUACUAAUAAUAGUUGGAGUUCAAAAAUAAAUUGAAGCUCCAUCUGUUGUUUAA